Molecule: ribosomal RNA, 375 nt
Filed under: uncultured Bacillus sp.
Lineage: Bacteria; Bacillati; Bacillota; Bacilli; Caryophanales; Bacillaceae
Description: bacterial SSU rRNA
Rfam family: Bacterial small subunit ribosomal RNA
Source: RNAcentral
AAUUCGAAGCAACGCGAAGAACCUUAUCAAGUCUUGACAUCCUUUGACCACCCUAGAGAUAGGGCUUUCCCUUCGGGGACAAAGUGACAGGUGGUGCAUGGUUGUCGUCAGCUCGUGUCGUGAGAUGUUGGGUUAAGUCCCGCAACGAGCGCAACCCUUGAUCUUAGUUGCCAGCAUUCAGUUGGGCACUCUAAGGUGACUGCCGGUGACAAACCGGAGGAAGGUGGGGAUGACGUCAAAUCAUCAUGCCCCUUAUGACCUGGGCUACACACGUGCUACAAUGGAUGGUACAAAGGGCAGCAAAACCGCGAGGUCGAGCAAAUCUCAUAAAACCAUUCUCAGUUCGGAUUGUAGGCUGCAACUCGCCUACAUGAA